This 246-nucleotide ribosomal RNA is filed under the name uncultured bacterium. Its description in RNAcentral is "partial small subunit ribosomal RNA". It matches the Rfam family "Bacterial small subunit ribosomal RNA", at positions 26 to 286 of the family's 1533-position model. The record is from RNAcentral.
AGAAUCAACGCUGGCGGCGUGCCUAACACAUGCAAGUCGAACGAGAAAGUGGAGCAAUCCACGAGUAAAGUGGCGCACGGGUGAGUAACACGUGACUAACCUACCCUUGAGUGGGGGAUAACCUAGGGAAACCUGGGCUAAUACCGCAUAAUACCUACGGGUCAAAGGAGCAAUUCGCUUAAGCGAGGGGGUCGCGGCCGAUUAGUUAGUUGGCGGGUAAUGGCCCACCAAGACGAUGAUCGGUAU